This 774-nucleotide ribosomal RNA is filed under the name uncultured bacterium. Its description in RNAcentral is "bacterial SSU rRNA". It matches the Rfam family "Bacterial small subunit ribosomal RNA", at positions 8 to 796 of the family's 1533-position model. The record is from RNAcentral.
AGAGUUUGAUCCUGGCUCAGAAUCAACGCUGGCGGCGUGCCUCAGACAUGCAAGUCGAACGAUUAAAGCUCUCUUCGGAGGGUGUAUAGAGUGGCGCACGGGUGAGUAACACGUAAGUAAUCUACCUUUGAGUGGGGAAUAACAGUCGGAAACGACUGCUAAUACCGCAUAAUGCAGCGGCAUCGCAAGAUGACAGUUGUUAAAGAUCUAUCGCUUGAAGAGGAGCUUGCGGCAGAUUAGCUAGUUGGUAAGGUAAUGGCUUACCAAGGCUACGAUCUGUAACCGGUCUAAGAGGACGGUCGGUCACACUGACACUGAAUAACGGGUCAGACUCCUACGGGAGGCAGCAGUCGGGAAUUUUGGGCAAUGGGCGAAAGCCUGACCCAGCAACGCCGCGUGAAGGAUGAAGUAUUUCGGUAUGUAAACUUCGAAAGAAUGGGAAGAAUAAAUGACGGUACCAUUUAUAAGGUCCGGCUAACUACGUGCCAGCAGCCGCGGUAAUACGUAGGGACCAAGCGUUGUUCGGAUUUACUGGGCGUAAAGGGCGCGUAGGCGGCUUGACAAGUCACUUGUGAAAUCUCCGGGCUUAACUCGGAACGGCCAAGUGAAACUGUCAUGCUAGAGUGCAGAAGGGGCAAUCGGAAUUCUUGGUGUAGCGGUGAAAUGCGUAGAUAUCAAGAGGAACACCUGAGGUGAAGACGGGUUGCUGGGCUGACACUGACGCUGAGGCGCGAAAGCCAGGGGAGCAAACGGGAUUAGAUACCCCGGUAGUCC